UGGGAUGAAGCUCAAUGGUAGAUCACUUGCCUAACAUGCAUGGGGCCCUGGGUUUGAUCCCCAGCACCCCCC
RNAcentral lists this transfer RNA (72 nucleotides) under Heterocephalus glaber (naked mole-rat). It matches the Rfam family "tRNA". From Rfam's summary of the family: Transfer RNA (tRNA) molecules are approximately 80 nucleotides in length. The record is from Rfam by way of RNAcentral. Lineage: Eukaryota; Metazoa; Chordata; Mammalia; Rodentia; Bathyergidae.